This 486-nucleotide ribosomal RNA is filed under the name uncultured bacterium. Its description in RNAcentral is "bacterial SSU rRNA". It matches the Rfam family "Bacterial small subunit ribosomal RNA", at positions 28 to 524 of the family's 1533-position model. The record is from RNAcentral.
GACGAACGCUGGCGGCGUGCUUAACACAUGCAAGUCGAACGAGGUCCACUGCGUAGCAAUACAAGGGAAGACCUAGUGGCGAACGGGUGCGUAACACGUGAGGAACUUGUCCCGGUCUCUGGGAUAACAGUUGGAAACGACUGCUAAUACCGGAUGACGUCGGAAUCUCGCAUGGGAUACUGACGAAAGGGUUACUGGAUCGGGAGAGCCUCGCGGCCUAUCAGCUUGUUGGUGAGGUAACGGCUCACCAAGGCAUCGACGGGUAGCUGGUCUGAGAGGAUGAUCAGCCACACUGGGACUGAGACACGGCCCAGACUCCUACGGGAGGCAGCAGUGGGGAAUCUUGCGCAAUGGGCGAAAGCCUGACGCAGCAACGCCGCGUGCGGGAAGAAGGCCCCUCGGGUUGUAAACCGCUUUCAGUAGGAACGAAAUGACGGUACCUGCAGAAGAAGGUGCGGCCAACUACGUGCCAGCAGCCGCGGUAAU